Molecule: long non-coding RNA, 3216 nt
Organism: Pezoporus flaviventris
Lineage: Eukaryota; Metazoa; Chordata; Aves; Psittaciformes; Psittacidae
Exons: 3
Source: RefSeq, a predicted model, not a curated record
UAAGGACACUUCUUCGGAAGACCCUCUUUGCCAGUGCUGUUGGUGCCUGCAGCAUAUUUUGGGUUGUUCCAUCCAGUUCUUCAGUGAAAUGGCCAUUAAGGGAGCUGGAAAUACCACCUUGGUGAGGCUGUUCCAUCAUGAACUUGAGCAGGAUCAGGGACAUCUGAUCCUAAGUCAAAGUCAGAAGACCAGCAUAAAACCCCAGAUGCGUUAUUGACAACGCUCCAGGCAGGAAGGUUUUGAAGACUAACAGAUGUGCACUGGAGCUUGCCACACAGACUAUGCCUGUAUUGAAUGAAAGACACUCAGAAACAAGGAUGUCCUUAGUGAUACUCCCACCAGUUUGAGGGCCAUGAACAUGAAGGCAAAACCCACCUGCUGUGACACCAUGCCCAAGCAAGAGCUCUGGAGACCCUUGGCUGCUGGGAUGGACUGAGGAGGUGGCUUGGACUGAAGCUCUCAAGAGAGAAACAGAAAUGUAUUUACCCUCAAAAGCUUCUCCCUGCUAGAGGUACUGUUUGAAACAAAGGUGUAUUUCACAGCCUGCUUCACAAACGACUCCUCGUGAUGAAGGCUGCUGUUCAGCACACCACACCGGAAGGGGAUAUCCUGCAUAUCUUCUGACUGGUAAAACACAUGCUCAAAAGUGCUGGAUGCGUUGAGUGGCUCCAUUCCAUACCAUUUACCACCAAUGUAGAGAAUUCCUCUAAUAAUGAUAAAAGAAUGAAUAAUUAUUCCACAGGUGUUCCCUCGUGGUUAUGACUAGAUGAUUGAAUGACAGCUGGAUACUUAGAAACUAGAACUGUUCAUACCACUUGGUUGAAAUGAAUUAUUAUCUUACAUUAUCUUAAUAUAGGGUGUAAGUUCAAACGACUGAAAGGGUCUCUUUUAGUCCUUAUCUCUAGUCUCACUCCUAGCCCCAUGCAGCUAAAGUAACCUAGUAUUUUAGAAAAAGAUAUUUUCUAAGACACAGAGAGAGGCUAAAAGCAAUCACCAGGGUGUUUGUGAGGGCAACAGCAGUAUUGCACUGCUGAGUGCAUUUGUCCAUGGCUCAUAAACACCCGGUCUGUGCCCAUUUGCUGUUCUUUUAGAGCCUAUUAUCUUGCUUUCCACAAUCUCAAACUAUAUUUAGAACAAGAAUUCUCUAGUUAAUAUCUUGUGAAAGAAGAUCUUCAAAAAUGUGAGUACGAAGUAGUCAAAGGAUUUGAGUCUGAUUAAGUUUUGCAGAACAGUCAAAAUGGAGUAUCUGUUCUGCUUACUUAGAUCCGGCAUUACCUGAAACACCAGUAUGUUGGCCAUUUUAUUCUUCAGUUAAAGGAAUGCCAGAAGUGUCAUUAUUUGUUGUGAGUGGCAUCUCACUGUGAUAUUAUCAAUGAAAGAUAUGUGGGUGAUCUUUAUCCUGUUUUCCUCUUUCUCCUUGUCAAAAAGAUAUCAAACUGAACAAGGCUACUACAUGCAACAGGUAUAUCCAAAGUCCAGCUAAAAAGCCCAGCUCAGUGAACACCAGGGAGCAUGGACACACUCUAAGCACAUUCUGAGUAUCUGCACCAUGUGGUGUGUGUGCCAUCUCAUUUUAUCAACUCGUGGACUGAUUCUGCAGGGAGAAACGAUUGCCCUUUAUGCAUUAAUCUGGUCCCUGUAUGUUUCUCCAAUUAAUGUAAUUUUAUUGGUUUUGAAACACAAACUGAGGAAAGGCUGAGAGAGCUGGGUUUGUUCAGCCUCCAGAAAAGAGGCCUCAGGGGAGACCUUGUCACCAUGUUCCAGUAUGUAAAGGGUGGCUACAAAAAAGAUGGAGACUCCUUUGUUACAAGAAGUCACAUGGAAAAGACAAGAGGUGAUGGGCACAAGUUACUCCGGGGGAGCUUCUGACUGGACAAGAGAGCAAAGUUCUUCACCAUGAGAACAACCAGCCAUUGGAAUAAUCUCCCCAGGGAAGUGGUGGAUUCACCAACAUUGGACACUUAAGAUUCAGCUGGACAGGGUGCUGGGACAUCUAGUCUAGGUCAUGCUCAUGCCAAGAAAUGUUGGACCAGAUGAUUCCUAACAUCCCUUCCAACCUGGGAUUCUAUGGUAUGAUCGAGUGUCUUAAGUUCAGUGAAAGCUCCAUCAGAUUGUUUUUCUUCUACAAAGGUGUCUCUCGUCAAGACAUUUGCAUCACGUAAUAGAGGCUUCAGCUCAUGCCUGUGUUUUGCUUAUGUUUAGAUUAUGCUCUCUCACUUUAUCCUUUCUCUGUGAAGGAAUUUUGGGAAAAGGGAAAAAAGGUGUAGCUGAGGGAAACUAUAAAACCUGUAAAGAGCUUCAGCUUCAUCAAAAGGUGAAAUAUUGAAAGUAUUUUAAAAGAUUUGCAAGAUAGGAUGGUGUUUUUCAGCUGUAUGAUGAAUUUUACUGUUUUACAUUGGUACUGCACAAUGAAUUACCCUGAAGUAACAAGCAAAAGUUAAUACCUAAGGCCAUCGCAUGUGCUAAGAGCAAGCACCGAGUCAGCAAUUCCUUCAACAGUGCCAUGGUAAUAACAGUGUGUCUGAAAUGCAACAAAACCAUGUGAUUAAUGACAAAAUAAAGUUGUUGCCUUCAAAUGCAAAGUCAUUUUCUAACUAACCUUUGUAUUUGCAUGACAUUAAGUCUGGCUGUUACGGAUUUAGAGAGUUCAUUGUUCUAGAAGUAAUCCCAGCCUUCUCGGAGUAAAAUAUGACUUGACAUGAGUACCUGCAACAGGUCCCUUGCUUCUCACAACCAGCUUUUUAGUUUAACCAUCACCAUCUUUUAGCAGAAUCUUUUCACCUACAUUGCUCACCCUGUUCUUUAACAGACUGUUCUCAAAGGCUGAUAUGAGAUCUCCCGUCCACAAAGCACCCCAUGAAGUCCUGCUGAGUUCACAUACAGUUUAAAGUUGAAAUGAAAUACAGAAGUAUUUAUAAGGCUUGUUUGGCACCAAAAAACUACAAAGCUUUGAUGCUGCUGUUGUAUCUUUAAUAGCAUACUUAUGCAAAGGCGACCUUAUCAGGCAGCUCAAAUUCAGUCUUGGCACAAUCUCCUGGCAUCUCCUUUCACACCUUGGAAAACAGUGAUGUAUAUCACCAUAAACAGCCCACUCCCUCAUAAAACACCAAACCUCAUGUUUUGUAUCAAUGGUAACCAUUAAACAGAAAUGCUACAAAUGCGAAGACUCACAAAAACCUCUUUCCAGACAAAUGUAUUUUCCUUUUGUAGAUGCUU